GACUGGAUGGCUGGAGGGUUCAAGCAGCCAGAGAGAAGCAGUGCAUAGUGGAAACUGUGACUAGUAUGAGAAGUGAUACAUCUGUGCCAGAGAGCCAGCGGUUGAGAGCUGCCCAAAAGAACCCGGAGCAAAGAUAACACGAGUGUCCUUGGAGACAGCGUUUUUGAGGAGGGCUCCAUCACCCAGGCUUUCCUUCCCAUAAGGCUCCCAUGUGUGGGGAGAGAUGGCUAGUUUGCAGGGCUGGGAGUGGGAGGGAGGGGUAAGAGAGGUACAGCUGGAGGAGGCUUCACGGAAAGACUGUGGAAAUGUGGAAAGCAGGGAAAUGAAGAGGGACACGUCACUCGUUGCAAACUGAAAUGCAGAAGGGGUGGUAAGGGGAAGAAAGGAUCAAGGAGGCAGAGAUUUGGAAGCUUCAUCACAGAAGAACUGGCCUCAAGAGCAAAGGGAAGCGUUUCCAUCCAAGGAUGUGAGAGAGUUCUCCCUGCUUGUCCAUCCGUGUUCUACCCUGAUGGUACUUUCCAGUGCAACUCUGCAAAAGAGCAGAAGACAUAUUUGAAUCGCCUGGGGAUCUGAUUCCUGUUACAGAUGACCCUGCAGACUUUUUCAGCUAGGAACUUCAUUAGUGAAUAUCCACUUGCUGUCUACAAUUCCACCUAAGAGAGGGAAGACUGCUCAUUUUCAGUGUGCCUGAGGGACAGGGGAAGUCAAGGUCCUACAACAGUCAUCAUGGUGACUCUUCCUCUUUUCCUCCUCUUCAUCCUUUUGCCCUGCAGUAAAUCUCAAGAGGACUUUCUGGACCAGCCUCAGAAGUGGAACUACAGAGAAGGCGCUGACAAGGUCAACAUAGAAGGUGUUUACAGCAUUACUCAAACCCUUGAAAAAUGGGGAAACGACAUCUUCUGGCAAAUGAAGCAUACCCUGCUGAACAACCCACAUGCUCUCCUGCCUGAGUUCUCCAGUCUCCGCCCUGUCUCUGCAGCUGUGGACAACCUUGUGAGGGAAGUCCAGUCAAUAAGGAAAAGGCUGGAAGAAUUGAAUGAACGUCUCAAUGUCAUCAGCAAAACUGUCCUUCCCCUUCGACUGAAUGCUCUGCAGAGCCAGAGGCGUGGAAAUACUCAGCUGCGGAGACUCCCGACACACAGGAGAAGGUUAUAUGCUCGCAGGAGACCUCAGAGCACUUAAUUCUCUACCAGAAAAAAAGGGGAAAUCAUUACUUUUUUUUCAUCUGCUUAAGUCUUUCUCAAUGGGACACUGCUAGAGAGAAAAAAAGUAAAGCACACACACAAGUCAGCUUUGCUAAGGAGACCAGAACUUCUGUAUUUUGUUGCUGCCUUUCAAACCUAGGUCAGUAGGUGAAACCUGACCCUGUUUUUUAAUGAUGGCUGUUUUGUGUCUCAAGCAAAAAAGAGUUGACAAGCUCAGUGUACUUGAGUGUGAAUACCUUUAGUCUAUACAGGCAUUCUUUCUGCUUACCAGAGGAAGGUCAUUUUAUAAAGAUCAGGUGAAUUUCUCUCUCUGCCCUAUUUUUAAACCACUCCAUCUGAAACAGCUGGGGAAUCUGAACUUCAAAAGUGCUGAACAACUGAUGAAUGCAGAAAGAUGGAUUAGUGCUUGGCACUUCCAGCUGGGCAGGGAAAGGGAGAGGAAGUUAUGUUUCAAAAUACAGCCUUAAUCUAUUGCCCAUGUUCAUAUGUUCAGAGGGUGGGUAGGGCUGGAUAACAUUGGUCUGUACAUCAUGCUUCAACAAUGAAGACAUAUCAGUUGCUAGGGACCAAAUUUGAACAUCCACCUUCUGCAAAGACUGUUUUUCUAGCUACCUGUAUCUGUGCACUCAGAAUGGUGUUAUUCAGUAGAUAUAUUCAGGAUUUCCAGCACUCUGAAACACACUGAACUGAUUUUUGCCAAGUCCCAUGAAAACCAGGAGAUUUUUGUUUGGGUUUUUUUUUCCCCCCCAAAACUAUUUAGAUAUCCAAUGUCAAAGAUAGGUAUCUGGAAGGAUUUUCCAAAAUAGCUUAAGAGACUCUUCAGUCCCCAAAAUCACAGAUAAUAUUUCAACUGGUGUCUAGUUCACAGAGUAUUUUCUCCAAAUGCCAGCACUGACCUCUAGACAUUUUCCAACCUCCUUUAGCACAAUUAAUAUCUGUAGAAAAUUAACAACCGGGCUCUCCAAAGACUUUGGUCCCUCAGGGAUUACCCAGAAUACUUUGCCUUCAGCUUGUCUUUGCCUAUGUCUUCCUGACAAUAAAGCUGGUUAUAAAAAAGAGUGCAUUAAUCAAAUUAUACACAGAAUGGAGGAUAGAGUGCACUUGCCCUUCAGGUCUCUAAAGAUUGAUCCAAUACAUAGAUUUCCAUUCAGCAUUGCAGUCAACUGUGUCAAUGAAAUGUGUUGAAACAUAAGAAGGAGAGCCAGAAAGGAGAAGAAACAGGUUGUCUUUAAGGUCUGGAUGAAGCAAUUUAUGAGAACACAAAUAAAGAAUGGAUUGUGUCUAAAUGAUUGUGGAGGUGUCUGACAUGACAGUUGUUUUGAAAACACUCUCAAGUCACAGUGAGGAUGCAGACUAGCUAUUUAAGGAUUCCCAAAGCCUGAGUUUAUGGAAAGAAAUUCAGUGACAGUACAAUAACCUCGAAAAGGAAAGGGGGGAAAAAACUAGUUUCAUAUGUAACCUUUCAGAGUGGACCAGAAGAAUUAACACAGUAAGAAUUUUAGCUGCAACCUGGGAGUUAGUUGAGUGGGGGAGCUAUUGACAGUGUAUGAGACAAUCUGAUAAAUAUUCCCCUGAUGUAAAUUCUCUGAGUUCAGGUUUUCA
Molecule: long non-coding RNA, 2807 nt
Organism: Parus major (Great Tit)
Lineage: Eukaryota; Metazoa; Chordata; Aves; Passeriformes; Paridae
Exons: 5
Source: RefSeq, a predicted model, not a curated record